AGUGAACGCUGGCGGCAGGCCCAACACAUGCAAGUCGAGCGGCAGCGCGUCCGACCACCCUCGGGUGGUCGGAUGGCGGCGAGCGGCGGACGGGUGAGGAAUGCAUCGGAAUCUGCCUCGUUGUGGGGGAUAACGUAGGGAAACUUACGCUAAUACCGCAUACGACCUACGGGUGAAAGUGGGGGACCUUCGGGCCUCACGCGAUGAGAUGAGCCGAUGCCGGAUUAGCUAGUUGGCGGGGUAAAGGCCCACCAAGGCGACGAUCCGUAGCUGGUCUGAGAGGAUGAUCAGCCACACUGGAACUGAGACACGGUCCAGACUCCUACGGGAGGCAGCAGUGGGGAAUAUUGGACAAUGGGGGCAACCCUGAUCCAGCCAUGCCGCGUGUGUGAAGAAGGCCU
Molecule: ribosomal RNA, 401 nt
Filed under: uncultured bacterium
Lineage: Bacteria
Description: bacterial SSU rRNA
Rfam family: Bacterial small subunit ribosomal RNA
Source: RNAcentral